This 495-nucleotide ribosomal RNA is filed under the name uncultured bacterium. RNAcentral's name for it is "bacterial SSU rRNA". It matches the Rfam family "Bacterial small subunit ribosomal RNA", at positions 28 to 517 of the family's 1533-position model. The record is from RNAcentral.
GAUGAACGCUAGCGGCAGGCCUAAUACAUGCAAGUCGAGGGGCAGCGCGGUAGCAAUACUGGCGGCGACCGGCGCACGGGUGCGUAACACGUAUGCAACCUACCUUCAACUGGAGGAUAGCCCGGGGAAACUCGGAUUAAUACUCCAUAACACAGGGAUCCCGCAUGGGAAUAUUGUUAAAGCUACGGCGGUUGAAGAUGGGCAUGCGUUCGAUUAGCUAGUUGGUGUAGGUAACGGCUCACCAAGGCUACGAUCGAUAGGGGGUCUGAGAGGAUGAUCCCCCCACACUGGUACUGAGAUACGGACCAGACUCCUACGGGAGGCAGCAGUAGGGAAUAUUGGUCAAUGGGCGCAAGCCUGAACCAGCCAUGCCGCGUGCAGGAAGAAAGGCCCCUCUGGGGUUGUAAACUGCUUUUGAUAGGGACAAAUGCCACUUGCGAGUGGAGCUGAGUGUACCUAUAGAAUAAGCACCGGCUAACUCCGUGCCAGCAGCCG